UAGGGAAUAUUGGACAAUGGGGGCAACCCUGAUCCAGCCAUGCCGCGUGAGUGAUGAAGGCCUUAGGGUUGUAAAGCUCUUUAGACGGGGACGAUUAUGACGGUACCCGUAGAAUAAGCACCGGCUAACUUCGUGCCAGCAGCCGCGGUAAUACGAAGGGUGCUAGCGUUGUUCGGAAUCACUGGGCGUAAAGCGCGCGUAGGCGGCCAAUCAAGUCAGGGGUGAAAUGCCACGGCUCAACCGUGGAACUGCCUUUGAAACUGAUUGGCUGGAAGAUGAGAGGGGAUAGCGGAAUUUCUGGUGUAGAGGUGAAAUUCGUAGAUACCAGAAGGAACACCGGUGGCGAAGGCGGCUAUCUGGCUCAUUCUUGACGCUCUGGCGCGAAAGCGUGGGGAUCAAACAG
This 403-nucleotide ribosomal RNA is filed under the name uncultured bacterium. Its description in RNAcentral is "bacterial SSU rRNA". It matches the Rfam family "Bacterial small subunit ribosomal RNA", at positions 355 to 775 of the family's 1533-position model. The record is from RNAcentral.